GAUGAAGAACGUAGCGAAAUGCGAUAAGUAAUGUGAAUUGCAGAAUUCAGUGAAUCAUCGAAUCUUUGAACGCACAUUGCGCCCGUCAGUAUUCUGGCGGGCAUGCCUGUUCGAGCGUCAUUACGCCCCUCAAGUCCCCUGUGGACUUGGUGUUGGGGAUCGGCGAGGCUGGUUUUCCAGCACAGCCGUCCCUUAAAUUAAUUGGCGGUCUCGCCGUGGCCCUCCUCUGCGCAGUAGUAAAACACUCGCAACAGGAGCCCGGCGCGGUCCACUGCCGUAAAACCCCCCAACUUUUUAUAGUUGACCUCGAAUCAGGUAGGACUACCCGCUGAACUUAAGCAUAUCUAAGCGGAGGA
This 356-nucleotide unclassified non-coding RNA is filed under the name soil metagenome. RNAcentral describes it as "partial contains 5.8S ribosomal RNA, internal transcribed spacer 2, and large subunit ribosomal RNA". The stretch from base 1 to 120 matches the Rfam family "5.8S ribosomal RNA", at positions 35 to 154 of the family's 154-position model. The record is from RNAcentral.